This is a non-coding RNA of Camellia sinensis, 703 nucleotides long. NCBI's taxonomy places the organism in Eukaryota, Viridiplantae, Streptophyta, Magnoliopsida, Ericales, Theaceae. The record is from RefSeq and is a predicted model, not a curated record.
UCAUUUCUUCCCAUUUCUCUCUACUUAGAUUAUCCAAACAAAUAAGAGAAAUAUAUAUCACUCAAUUUCUUUUCUUUGCUCUCCAAAUCACUCAAUCCAAACAUAGCUUUACAGCCCGAGUUCUUUAACUAUUUCAGCUUCUCAAUUUGGCAUUUUUAUUUUUAUUUUUUUAUUACCCCGUUUCCCACCUUUGUCUCCUUUGUUUUGUAUUAGCAAUUGUUUUGCAUUACCUUCCACUCUCACAAUAAUUUGUUUCCACCCUGGAGAACCCAUCUAGCUUGAUUAAGUAUUCAAAUGUCCCAUGUACUGUACUAUCUGGUGCGUUUAAAUUGAAACUGCUUUCCCCUCAAUAAGGAGAGUAUAUGAAUGCUUUUCUAAAUUUUUCAAUAUUUAUCCUCUCAUAACAACAUCCAAUUCUUGCAUUAUUAUGUAUGCUGGAAAGGACUAUUAUCUGAGUGCCCUUGAGUUGUUGUUCGUGCUGGUGCAGACAACGUUCACAGCAUUUAUAACAAGGCAAAGAAAUGGACUGGUUCAUAUUGGGAUGAGUGUGCUAGCUUGCCAGCUAUUGUUCCGCAGGGACCCAUUGCAAUUUUUGGUUUGGGUGGCGGAACAGCUGCUCAUUUGAUGCUUGAUUUAUGGCCGUCAUUGGUGCUUGAAGGUUGGGAGAUUGAUGAAAUUGUAAGAAAAAUUUAUUUAUUUUAAU